UACGGAGGGUGCAAGCGUUGUCCGGAAUCACUGGGCGUAAAGGGCGCGUAGGCGGCUCGGUAAGUAGGGGGUGAAAUCCUGCGGCUUAACCGCAGGGCUGCCUUCUAAACUGUCGAGCUUGAGCACGGUAGAGGCAGAUGGAAUUCCCGGUGUAGCGGUGGAAUGCGUAGAGAUCGGGAAGAACAUCAGUGGCGAAGGCGGUCUGCUGGGCCGUUGCUGACGCUGAGGCGCGACAGCGUGGGGGAGCAAACAGGG
This 255-nucleotide ribosomal RNA is filed under the name uncultured bacterium. Its description in RNAcentral is "partial 16S ribosomal RNA". It matches the Rfam family "Bacterial small subunit ribosomal RNA", at positions 524 to 777 of the family's 1533-position model. The record is from RNAcentral.